Molecule: ribosomal RNA, 248 nt
Filed under: uncultured Roseburia sp.
Lineage: Bacteria; Bacillati; Bacillota; Clostridia; Lachnospirales; Lachnospiraceae
Description: partial 16S ribosomal RNA
Rfam family: Bacterial small subunit ribosomal RNA
Source: RNAcentral
UACGUAUGGAGCAAGCGUUAUCCGGAUUUACUGGGUGUAAAGGGAGCGUAGGCGGUAAGGCAAGUCUGAUGUGAAAGGCCGGGGCUCAACCCUGGGACUGCAUUGGAAACUGUUUAACUGGAGUGUCGGAGAGGCAAGUGGAAUUCCUAGUGUAGCGGUGAAAUGCGUAGAUAUUAGGAGGAACACCAGUGGCGAAGGCGGCUUGCUGGACGAUGACUGACGCUGAGGCUCGAAAGCGUGGGGAGCAA